GACGAAUGCUAUAUCCUUUCCAGGCUGGUCUUCACUCAACUGCUGUACCUACUGCUUUCUGCUUUGGGAAUGCCGAGUGACUUUACCCUGUAGAACCUGGGCCCAUCUGAAAGAGGAAGGGAUGAAGGCCAGCUGGGUUGGCUGGCUGGAUGAGUGUGUUGCACGGAGGGAUCGUUGUUCACAUGCCUCAACACUUUCUGAGACUGGUCAGCUUGGUAGCAUUCAUUCUAGCAGUGGUCAGUCUGCUCCUCUCCUUGAAGCAGAAUGGGAGAGUGUGGAGGAAGGCAGGAGCAGAAGCAAUCUGGAAAUAUGCUUCCAAAUGGGUAAAAAUAAACAAAGAUUCAGACAUCUCAGCAAAACUGGAAGCCAAGGAAUCAAAAGAAACCUUGGGACAAUUGGAAAAGCUUGAUCCCUGUAAGAAGCAAGCCCAUGUGUGUGCCCCAGUAGGAGUGGGGCAGAGACCAAAGGGCUUUGACCCUGCGGCCCCCGCAUCACAGGUGUUCCGAGCAUCUGUGGACCGAACUGAAGCUGGAAGGAAGCAGAACUUACCCAUCAAAGCUCUUCCCAUCACCGCCAUUUAUUAAAGAGAGGCAGU
Molecule: long non-coding RNA, 595 nt
Filed under: Mus spretus (western wild mouse)
Lineage: Eukaryota; Metazoa; Chordata; Mammalia; Rodentia; Muridae
Description: RIKEN cDNA 4930449E01 gene (ENSMSPG00010009845.1)
Source: RNAcentral